GGCAACUCAUUCUAGCGAUCUGCCAUUGAUGUGCCCUCCUUGUACUUCAAAUUUCAAGCUUUUUAAACACAUAAAUCUUAUUGUACUUUUUUCAAAGUACACUAGCCGAUGUGUCAUUCUCCACAUGGUGGUAAACAUUGCCAUCCAUGCCAAAUGAAGCCAACAUAUUAUCAAUUCAAGAGUUUCCACUUAUCGAUCAUAUCAUUAGGCUUGGCAUCGUCAUCCUCCAAGGGAGCAUGCAUCUCCUAAUAAGAAAGUAAGUCUAAUAUCUUGCCCUUCCAUGUUCUCCAAUCGUCACCAUCUAAACUCACCAUUCUAAUUAUAUUAAUCUUAAUAGCUUACUUAGAAAUUUUAUCAAACAUCCUGCAGGCACCAACCAUAGUUCUGAAACGACUUAUUAGGAAGGUGCCCUCUCCUCUCCUAAGCAAGCUAUAGAUAAUAUUCACAAUCAUAAUAUACAAUGACAACCAACAACUCAAUGGAAGUAGCAAAACUAAGCAACUAAGAGAGUAGAAACACCAACAAUUUACAUGGAAAAUCGUUCAAGAAAGAGAAAAACUUUGGGCACCAAGCAGGAUUCCACUAAUCAAUAAGAUGAAGAGUACAAAAGGUCUACAAUAACAAAAUUUUUUUAAGGACACAAGAAAAUAUCUACAAGAAAAUGCAUGAACAAGCUUCCAACUUACAAAAUUAGUAGACACACCCUCAAAGAGAGAAAUCCUAACUUUUUUGAAGCUUUAAACAACCUUGUAGAUAAAAUGAAUAAAGAAAACAAUUUGUUGUGCCUUAAACUUCAAUCUAAGAAGAACCUUGCAUGAGACCCUUAUUGUGUGUAUAGAACCAAAACCUUGCCCCUUUCCUAUUCUUCCUUGCACUCUUUCUCAUAUUAUGUAGGCUACCACUUAAAAAACAUGUUUCUUGUUAGUAAGGUCCAACACCUAUUAGUCUGGUGUGGGCUACUCCACAUGGGGAUAGCCUAAAGUACUAGUAGUAAACCCAACAAUCUCUAGUUAGCUCUUUGAUGUGCCUAACAUGUUCUAGUAAAGAAAUGUCAAUCUUGUUUAUGUUGCUUGCUGGUUAGAAAAAAAAUGAAGUAGAGCAUUGCAUGGCAAAAUUGAUGCCAAUUCAUAGAAGCAAUAGGAAUUACAACACAUCAGCUAUGUGACUUUUUGGGUUACAUAUCCGAGUUACUAAAGCAUUCUGGUUCAUGGCAUUUUAUUUGUUUGACUAAACCAUACAAAUCUUCCUAGAUUAAGCAUCAUUUAGGCCAUAUUAUCUAUAGUAGCCUCCUUUGGUAAUUUACAGACUCUUGCAUUGACAAUUUUUUAUUUUGUUGUGGGGUGCAGGGGAUGAAAGAAUUUAGAAUUUAUUCUUCAUGAUAAUCCAUCGCCAAAAGUUUGCAUCAUUAUUUUCAAGAUCGCAUACAUGUCAUUGACUUUUAAAGGCAUCAAUGAGUCUGUUUGGUGGAGUGGGUGGGAGGAAUAAGAUGUUACACAAUAGGAGACAAGGUAGGAACUCACCUAUGCUUGGGCUCUCCGCCUUUUCAACCGGGUCUCAAGCACUACUCUUUAUCAAUAAAUAUUUUAGCAGAAGAAAAUGCAUUAUAUUAUUUCUCCAUUUUUUAUUUAUGGAUCAUAUUUCUUUCAAUGCACACAUCUUAGUAGAAUAUGCUAGAAAAGAAAGAGAAGAUGGAGAGUCAAAAAGCUAGAAAAAAAUUUAAGAGAAGAGCCCUGGAAGCAUGGAAAAAAAUUUGGAAUAAAUCUUGUAUGAGUCCUUUACUCAAGUCCCUCCUUUAUAUUACAUAAUUGAUAAUAGUUUCUUGCUUGAAAGUCAUUCGACCAGAAUUAAUCAUACUGCUACUAUGAUGAUUUCAUUCCAUCUCUGUCUAUGUCAUUUCGAGAUAUGAAAGAUGGAUUUUAAGAGUAUGAAUUUGUUUGACCUAACAAUCAUUUGAAAAAAAUCCUAGAUACAUUUGAGCCAUAUGAGAUGAAGAGUUUGAAAGUUUCAUCAAGUUAUUAAGAAGAUGACUUUUCCAAACAUGGCUAGUAAAAAUAAUAUAAAAAGCUAAAAUUUUGCAAGAGGUAGAUCUCAACUUCGACAUCUACUUUAUGUUUAGCUGCUCUAUCUACUUCUUCCUGAUUGGUAAAUAUAUCUAGUUAAAGUCUUUUCUAAAAUGGAUAUUAAUGCAUUGAUUGGUCUAUUUUGGAGUCCAAAUAAUAAUAUUUGUCUUUGAUUGCUCGAUAUAUCUCAUUGUAAAGAGAAGACGCCAUGUCAAAGAGCUCAAAAAAAUACUUG
Molecule: long non-coding RNA, 2295 nt
Filed under: Phoenix dactylifera (date palm)
Lineage: Eukaryota; Viridiplantae; Streptophyta; Magnoliopsida; Arecales; Arecaceae
Description: long non-coding RNA (PDAC_LNC003768)
Source: RNAcentral